GAAAUUGCCCCACCUGUUGUGCUGAUAACAAUAGUUUGCCUCGGCCUGGGAAGCUGGUCCAGGUCCGGAUAUAGCUGCACAGCUAACAGGUAGCGGAUAUUGCAAAUGACCGGUCGCGGCUCGAUGUCGACCCUAACGCCGCGAGCCAAAAGACCUAUAUAAAUGAGUUCAGGGAAUUUGCCAAGAGGCUCGAAGAUAUGUG
This 202-nucleotide long non-coding RNA is filed under the name Volvox carteri. Its description in RNAcentral is "long non-coding RNA (VCAR_LNC003361)". The record is from RNAcentral. Lineage: Eukaryota; Viridiplantae; Chlorophyta; Chlorophyceae; Chlamydomonadales; Volvocaceae.